AACAUUCUAUUAUUAAGUAACGGCGAUUAAAAAAUAAAUUGGAGCUAUAUAAACUGUACCGCAAGGGAAAUAUGAAAUAAAAUGAAAACUCAAAGCAAACUAUAGCAAAGAUUAACCCUUGUACCUUUUGCAUCAUGGUCUAGCCAGUCUAACCAAGCAAAACGCACUUAAAGUUUGACACCCCGAAACUAAGCGAGCUACUCUAAAACAGCCCACAGAGCCAACUCAUCUCUGUUGCAAAAGAGUGAGAAGAUUUUAAAGUAGAGGUGACAUGCCUACCGAGCCUAGAGAUAGCUGGUUAUUCAAAAGACGGAUAUAAGUCCAACUUUAAGUUUUCUCAAUUUUUAUUAAAUACCCACUAAACUUAAAAGCCAUUCAAAUAAGGUACAGCCUAUUUGAACAAGGAUACAGCCUAUAACACCGGGUAAUGUAUAUUAACGUGACCAAGUAGGCCUAAAAGCAGCCAUCUUUAAAAAAGCGCCCAAGCUUCCCCACUAAAUAUCUUUUAUACCACCACUAAUCUACAACCCCCAACCACUACUGAAUGACCCCAUAACUAUAUGGAGGGCACCAUGCUAGAACUAGUAACAAGAAGACGAACUUCUCCAUAAUGUAAACGUAAGCCAUAAUAAACCCCUUAUCGGCACUUACCGCUAUAAUUUAUAGUAUAUUUUUACAAGAAAAUCCUACUAAUUCAAGCGCUAACCUUACACCAGAACAUUACUGGAAAGAUUAAAAGAAGAGGAAGGAACUCGGCAAAUAAAAGCCCCGCCUGUUUACCAAAAACAUCGCCUCUUGAUAACUAUAAGAGGUCUAGCCUGCCCGGUGACUAACAAAGUUUAACGGCCGCGGUAUCCUGACCGUGCGAAGGUAGCAUAAUCACUUGUUCUUUAAAUCAGGACUAGUAUGAAUGGCCCCACGAAGGCUACUCUGUCUCCCCCCUCCAAUCAGUGAAACUGAUCUCCCCGUGAAGAAGCGAGGAUACCCCCAUAAGACGAAAAGACCCCAUGGAACUUUAAACUAGUACCACCCCCUCCACACGACAUCGCAUGACUACUAGUCUUUCGGCUGGGGCGACCACGGGGAAAAAUAAAACCCCCGAGAUGAAAGGAAAUAUCCUUAUCCCAGAACUACUAUUCCAAGAAUCAAAAAUGACACUAUUGACCCAAUACUUGACCAACGAACCAAGCUACCCUGGGGAUAACAGCGCAAUCCAUUUCGAGAGCCCCCAUCAACAAAUGGGCUUACGACCUCGAUGUUGGAUCAGGAAAUCCUGGUGGUGCAGCCGCUACUAAAGGUUCGUUUGUUCAACGAUUAAAACCCU
RNAcentral lists this ribosomal RNA (1324 nucleotides) under Stumpffia sp. PT261. Its description in RNAcentral is "partial 16S ribosomal RNA". It matches the Rfam family "Bacterial large subunit ribosomal RNA", at positions 227 to 2597 of the family's 2925-position model. Lineage: Eukaryota; Metazoa; Chordata; Amphibia; Anura; Microhylidae. The record is from RNAcentral.